UUUAAUCAAUAUUGAUUUGUUGAAUGACUACUACUAAUUCUAAUAAUAAUGAUGAUGGUGUAUAGUAGUGGAACUGCCCCCUCGGACUCCUAAAACUGGACCAGCUGCGACAGUUCUGGUGUGCGUAACUCUAGCCCUUCUGGUUUUCCUGGAGAUAACAUUUUCGUUCAUAUCCAAAGAAUUUGAUUGGCAAGGUUCAGCUAGAGAUAUAGCGUUGCAUGGAGAUAUUGAAAGUUGGACCAGAAAGCAUAAGGCUACGAAUAUGACUAAAAUUUGUAAAAGUCACACAACAACACAACAAGGAAAUAAAUCCAUUCCUAAGCAAUGUUUGAAUUUUCAAAAAUAAACUUUGACCAAUGAUAAUUAUUUAUUUUUCUGAUUUAUAAUUUUUAAAAAAAAAUAUAGCCUGUCUAGUCACAUAUUUAUUCAGAAAAUAUUGAAAAAUAAAAUUUUUAACUUAUA
This is a long non-coding RNA of Gordionus sp. m RMFG-2023, 462 nucleotides long. RefSeq lists it as uncharacterized. The record is from RefSeq and is a predicted model, not a curated record. The transcript has 2 exons. Lineage: Eukaryota; Metazoa; Nematomorpha; Gordioida; Chordodea; Parachordodidae.